Molecule: non-coding RNA, 93 nt
Organism: Pelobates cultripes (western spadefoot toad)
Lineage: Eukaryota; Metazoa; Chordata; Amphibia; Anura; Pelobatidae
Source: the annotation of a GenBank genome assembly
CCCCAGAUGUUGCUGAACUACAACUCCCAUGAUUCUCUGGCUACCUCUGUAAUUCAAAGAAUCAUGGGAGUUGUAGUUCAGCAACAUCUGGGG